Telopea speciosissima is the source of this 227-nucleotide long non-coding RNA. RefSeq lists it as uncharacterized. NCBI's taxonomy places the organism in Eukaryota, Viridiplantae, Streptophyta, Magnoliopsida, Proteales, Proteaceae. The transcript has 2 exons. The record is from RefSeq and is a predicted model, not a curated record.
CUGGCGGUGAUGAUGAUUAUUAUACCAUCAAACUAUGAAAGCUUUAUAAGCUUGUUUAUUGUGUAUUGGUAUUAACUGUGUAGGUAAUGGAGAAAUAGAUGUGAGAUAGAGAGAAAGAGAGGGAAAGGCAACAAAUUAGAGUCUCUGUUGCGCUCUUUGCUAUAGCGUAUUCAGCGCUGUACGUUGCCGAUAGAGAUCGAGUGGAUAUUCUGGCAUUCGUCGCUUCA